AUACGAACUGUGCAAACGUUAUUCGGAAUCACUGGGCUUAAAGGGUGCGUAGGCGGGUUUGAAGGUCUGAUGUGAAAGCCCACGGCUCAACCGUGGAAUUGCGUUGGAAACCACAAGCCUCGAGGGAGUCAGAGGUGAGCGGAACUAAUGGUGGAGCGGUGAAAUGCGUUGAUAUCAUUAGGAACACCGGUGGCGAAAGCGGCUCACUGGGACUCUUCUGACGCUGAGGCACGAAAGCUAGGGGAGCGAACGGGAUUAGAAACCCUAGUAGUCC
This 274-nucleotide ribosomal RNA is filed under the name uncultured bacterium. RNAcentral describes it as "partial 16S ribosomal RNA". It matches the Rfam family "Bacterial small subunit ribosomal RNA", at positions 523 to 796 of the family's 1533-position model. The record is from RNAcentral.